CUAUACUGUGAAACUGCGAAUGGCUCAUUAAAUCAGUUAUCGUUUAUUUGAUAGUACCUUACUACUUGGAUAACCGUGGUAAUUCUAGAGCUAAUACAUGCUAAAAACCCCGACUUCGGAAGGGGUGUAUUUAUUAGAUAAAAAACCAAUGCCCUUCGGGGCUCCUUGGUGAUUCAUGAUAACUUAACGAAUCGCAUGGCCUUGCGCCGGCGAUGGUUCAUUCAAAUUUCUGCCCUAUCAACUUUCGAUGGUAGGAUAGUGGCCUACCAUGGUAUCAACGGGUAACGGGGAAUUAGGGUUCUAUUCCGGAGAGGGAGCCUGAGAAACGGCUACCACAUCCAAGGAAGGCAGCAGGCGCGCAAAUUACCCAAUCCCGACACGGGGAGGUAGUGACAAUAAAUACUGAUACAGGGCUCUUUUGGGUCUUGUAAUUGGAAUGAGUACAAUUUAAAUACCUUAACGAGGAACAAUUGGAGGGCAAGUCUGGUGCCAGCAGCCGCGGUAAUUCCAGCUCCAAUAGCGUAUAUUAAAGUUGUUGCAGUUAAAAAGCUCGUAGUUGAACCUUGGGCCUGGCUGGCCGGUCCGCCUCACCGCGUGUACUGGUCCGGCCGGGCCUUUCCUUCUGGGGAUCCCCAUGCCCUUCACUGGGUGUGGUGGGGAACCAGGACUUUUACUUUGAAAAAAUUAGAGUGUUCAAAGCAGGCCUUUGCUCGAAUACAUUAGCAUGGAAUAAUAGAAUAGGACGUGCGGUCCUAUUUUGUUGGUUUCUAGGACCGCCGUAAUGAUUAAUAGGGAUAGUCGGGGGCAUCAGUAUUCAAUUGUCAGAGGUGAAAUUCUUGGAUUUAUUGAAGACUAACUACUGCGAAAGCAUUUGCCAAGGAUGUUUUCAUUAAUCAGUGAACGAAAGUUAGGGGAUCGAAGACGAUCAGAUACCGUCGUAGUCUUAACCGUAAACUAUGCCGACUAGGGAUCGGGCGAUGUUAUUAUUUUGACUCGCUCGGCACCUUACGAGAAAUCAAAGUCU
RNAcentral lists this ribosomal RNA (1024 nucleotides) under Kellermania uniseptata. Its description in RNAcentral is "SSU rRNA". It matches the Rfam family "Eukaryotic small subunit ribosomal RNA", at positions 74 to 1106 of the family's 1831-position model. RNAcentral also lists the same sequence under 2 other names. The record is from RNAcentral. Lineage: Eukaryota; Fungi; Ascomycota; Dothideomycetes; Botryosphaeriales; Planistromellaceae.